Molecule: ribosomal RNA, 483 nt
Filed under: uncultured Actinomycetes bacterium
Lineage: Bacteria; Bacillati; Actinomycetota; Actinomycetes
Description: bacterial SSU rRNA
Rfam family: Bacterial small subunit ribosomal RNA
Source: RNAcentral
ACUCCUACGGGAGGCAGCAGUGGGGAAUAUUGCGCAAUGGGCGAAAGCCUGACGCAGCGACGCCGCGUGGGGGAUGAAGGCCUUCGGGUUGUAAACCCCUUUCAGCAGGGACGAAGCGAAAGUGACGGUACCUGCAGAAGAAGCGCCGGCUAACUACGUGCCAGCAGCCGCGGUAACACGUAGGGCGCAAGCGUUGUCCGGAAUUAUUGGGCGUAAAGAGCUCGUAGGCGGUCUGUUGCGUCCGCUGUGAAAUCUCGGGGCUUAACCCCGAGCCUGCAGUGGAUACGGGCAGACUAGAGGUAGGUAGGGGAGAAUGGAAUUCCCGGUGUAGCGGUGAAAUGCGCAGAUAUCGGGAGGAACACCGGUGGCGAAGGCGGUUCUCUGGGCCUUACCUGACGCUGAGGAGCGAAAGCGUGGGGAGCAAACAGGAUUAGAUACCCUGGUAGUCCACGCUGUAAACGUUGGGCGCUAGGUGUGGGAUCA